This 72-nucleotide transfer RNA is filed under the name Toxocara canis (dog roundworm). It matches the Rfam family "tRNA". Rfam says of the family: Transfer RNA (tRNA) molecules are approximately 80 nucleotides in length. The record is from Rfam by way of RNAcentral. Lineage: Eukaryota; Metazoa; Nematoda; Chromadorea; Rhabditida; Toxocaridae.
GGGUCAAUAGCUCAGUUGUAGUGCUCCCGCUUCUUAUGCGGAAAGACCUGGGUUCAAUUCCCGGCUACUUCC